This 215-nucleotide unclassified non-coding RNA is filed under the name Ambisporaceae sp. RNAcentral describes it as "partial contains 5.8S ribosomal RNA and internal transcribed spacer 2". The stretch from base 1 to 71 matches the Rfam family "5.8S ribosomal RNA", at positions 84 to 154 of the family's 154-position model. Lineage: Eukaryota; Fungi; Glomeromycota; Glomeromycetes; Archaeosporales; Ambisporaceae. The record is from RNAcentral.
GUGAAUCAUCGAAUCUUUGAACGCAUAUUGCACUAUCUGGUAUUCCGGAGAGUAUGCCUAUUUGAGGGUCAUUUGAAAUAAUAUAAAUUUCGAGUUUUUCUUGAAAUCAUAACUGGGUCGGUCUAGCUGUCGUUUGGUGGUCGUAUAAAAUGUAAGAUAAGCUCAUUUCUUGGGUUGAGUGAUAUUAAUAGUUAUCUCGUGACUUCAGAAGAAAU